This is a long non-coding RNA of Cynocephalus volans (Philippine flying lemur), 733 nucleotides long. RefSeq lists it as uncharacterized. Lineage: Eukaryota; Metazoa; Chordata; Mammalia; Dermoptera; Cynocephalidae. The transcript is spliced from 2 exons. The record is from RefSeq and is a predicted model, not a curated record.
UCCAGAGCAUAGCUGAGGGGCGGGCGGCGGGGAGCUCCUUAAGUGAUCCGCGGCAUGUUGGCCUCAACUGGUCAUUUAAUUCCCGUUGGCAACUUUUUCAGAUUCUUACUUUUUAAAUUUCUGUGAGCAACGCGAGGGUCAAAGUAAGGUUGCAAGUUGGUUUUAAAAGCUUCAUAAUCACACCGUCCUCCCUGCAUUCAGUGAGGGAGUGGAGGGCUCCACAGUGAAACGGCUUCCGAUAACCUGGAGUCGCAAGGUGGAGCAGAAUGAAAACAGAAGAAACACUUCUUUGGAUCAGUUUGCAUCUCAGUGGAUACACUGGAGAACCAUGCAAUGCUCUCAGCAUUGAAUGCAGUCCUGGGCCACAAGUCUGCAUGCUCCUUUGCAGCUGGUCCUGUGACAGCAGAACCUUUUAUCUUUCCUUUACUAUUUACUAUGACUUCUGUACAGUUGCUUUUAAAAAUUAUUUUUUUUCCUACAAGUUCAGAAACAAUCUGGCUUUCACUCAUACUCCUCCACUGAGGCUGUUCUAAGCUUAUCAGUGAUCUAGUUUCUUCAGCCAAGGAAUAUUUUUUGUGCCUGUUACUCUCGGGUGCUUUAUGGUCUUGGUCUCUGGCUGUUCCAUCUGAUUUUACCGGAUUGUUCUUCCUCUCCCUGCCCUUUAUGCAUAUAUGUACAAGCCUGCAAGUACAUAUGACAGACUUUAUAAGUAGUAUAAAACAUAUAUAUGUUA